GACGAACGCUGGCGGCGUGCUUAACACAUGCAAGUCGAACGGAAAGGCCCUGCUUUUGUGGGGUGCUCGAGUGGCGAACGGGUGAGUAACACGUGAGUAACCUGCCCUUGACUUUGGGAUAACUUCAGGAAACUGGGGCUAAUACCGGAUAGGAGCUCCUGCUGCAUGGGGGGGGUUGGAAAGUUUCGGCGGUUGGGGAUGGACUCGCGGCUUAUCAGCUUGUUGGUGGGGUAGUGGCUUACCAAGGGUUUGACGGGUAGCCGGCCUGAGAGGGUGACCGGCCACAUUGGGACUGAGAUACGGCCCAGACUCCUACGGGAGGCAGCAGUGGGGAAUAUUGCACAAUGGGCGGAAGCCUGAUGCAGAAACGCCGCGUGCGGGAUGACGGCCUUCGGGUUGUAAACCGCUUUCGCAUGUGACGAAGCGUGAGUGACGGUAAUGGGUAAAGAAGCACCGGCUAACUACGUG
RNAcentral lists this ribosomal RNA (468 nucleotides) under uncultured bacterium. Its description in RNAcentral is "partial 16S ribosomal RNA". It matches the Rfam family "Bacterial small subunit ribosomal RNA", at positions 28 to 507 of the family's 1533-position model. The record is from RNAcentral.